CUAUAACCACCCUCACCCCAUUUCCACCCCCACCCCAUCACCCUCUCCAACUCAUUCCUACCCCCACCCCAUCAUCACAUCCAUCACAUUGUCACCUCUGUUUUAUUGUCACCCCCACCCCAUCAUCACAUCCAUCACAUUGUCACCUCUGUUUUAUUGUCACCCCCACCCCAUCGUCACGUCCAUCACGUUGUCACCUCCGUUUUAUUGUCACCCCCCCCACCCAUUGCCACCUCCGCCCCAUUGCCACCUCCGCCCCAUUGCCACCCCCGCCCCAUUAUGGCCACCCCCGCCCCAUUGUCACCUCUACCCCAUUGUCACCUCCACCCUACAGCCACCCCCGCCCCACUGUCACCUCUGUCCCUUUCCUACUUCUGUGUGAUGCCCAGCCCCACCACCUCCAUCCUGCAGCCCUGUCCCCUCGUGUCACCUCUGCUCCCCUUUGUGUUGUCCCCUCGUGUCACCUCUGCUCCCCUUCAUGAUGUCCCCACGUGUCACCCCUGGUCCCCUUUGUGUUGUCCCCUCAUGUCACCUCCAUUCCUUGUGAUGUCCCCUCGUGUCACCUUCACGAUGUCCCCGUGUGUCACCUCCGUUCUCCUUCACGAUGUCCCCGUGUGUCACCUCUGCUCCCCUUUAUGUUGUCCCCCCAUGUCACCUCACCUCCAUUCCUCCUGAUGUCCCCCCGUGUCACCUCCCCUCUCCUGUCACUGCGUGACCCCCCGAUGUCCCCACACGUCCCCUCCUGACCCCCCGAUGUCCCCACAGUUGUGUGUUACAACGGUGGCACCCACGACGGCAUCAAAUGCCUCUGCCUCUCCAACUUCUAUGGGCCGCAGUGCGAGUUCCCCAUCGACACCAUCGACACCUCCCUCUCGUCCUCCAGCACCACGGUGGCUGCGGCGGAUCUGGACGUCACCAUCACCAACUUCAACUACACCGAGGAGUUGGAGGACCAACAGUCGGAAGCGUUCCUCGAGUUUGGGGAGCACUUCCAGAAGGAGGUGAGAACCGUUCCUCGGGUGGGAGGAGGUUGGGGGGGUCACUUCCGNNNNNNNNNNNNNNNNNNNNUUCCGGUUUUGGGGGUGUCACUUCCGGUGAUUGGGGUCUCACUUCCUGUUGUUGGGGUCUCGCUUCCCGUGGUUGGGGUCUCACUUCCAUCGGUUGGGGUGCCACAUCCGGAUUUGGGGCGCCACUUCCCGUUGUUGGGGUCUCACUUCCGGAUUUGGGGUGUCACUUCCUGCGGUUGGUGGUCUCACUUCCGGUGGUCUGGGUCUCGCUUCCAUCGGUUUGGGUGUCACUUCCGUAUUUGGGACGCCACUUCCCGAUGUUCGGGCGUCAUUUCCUGUUUGGCGGGAGCCACUUCCGGUGGCGGGGCGUCACUUCCGGUUUCAGUUUCGUUUCUGUUCGUCGGUUCCACAGAUCGGGAAAAUCUACGGCAGCGUCCCCAGCUACAAGGGGGUGAAGAUCCUCGACGUCGGGUGCG
Molecule: long non-coding RNA, 1483 nt
Filed under: Meleagris gallopavo (turkey)
Lineage: Eukaryota; Metazoa; Chordata; Aves; Galliformes; Phasianidae
Description: lncRNA (ENSMGAG00000019575.1)
Source: RNAcentral